Molecule: unclassified non-coding RNA, 240 nt
Filed under: soil metagenome
Description: partial contains 5.8S ribosomal RNA, internal transcribed spacer 2, and large subunit ribosomal RNA
Source: RNAcentral
AACGCACGAGACCUGCGGACCUGCGGAAGGAUCAUUACUGAGUUAGGGUCUCACGGGCCCGACCUCCAACCCUGUGUCUAUUAUACCAUGUUGCUUUGGCGGGCCUGCCUUUUGGGGCUGCCGGGGGCUUGACCGCACCUGACUCGUGCCCGCCAGGAGCCUUCCUUAAAUGCUGUGUGAAAUUGUGUGGUCUGAGUCUCCAUAUCAAAUUAUGAAAAACUUUCAGCAAUGGAUCUCUAG